Molecule: ribosomal RNA, 497 nt
Filed under: uncultured bacterium
Lineage: Bacteria
Description: partial 16S ribosomal RNA
Rfam family: Bacterial small subunit ribosomal RNA
Source: RNAcentral
GAUGAACGCUGGCGGCGUGCCUAAUACAUGCAAGUCGAGCGAACAGACGAGGAGCUUGCUCCUCUGACGUUAGCGGCGGACGGGUGAGUAACACGUGGAUAACCUACCUAUAAGACUGGGAUAACUUCGGGAAACCGGAGCUAAUACCGGAUAAUAUAUUGAACCGCAUGGUUCAAUAGUGAAAGACGGUUUUGCUGUCACUUAUAGAUGGAUCCGCGCCGCAUUAGCUAGUUGGUAAGGUAACGGCUUACCAAGGCAACGAUGCGUAGCCGACCUGAGAGGGUGAUCGGCCACACUGGAACUGAGACACGGUCCAGACUCCUACGGGAGGCAGCAGUAGGGAAUCUUCCGCAAUGGGCGAAAGCCUGACGGAGCAACGCCGCGUGAGUGAUGAAGUUCUUCGGAUCGUAAAACUCUGUUAUUAGGGAAAAACAAAUGUGUAAGUAACUAUGCACGUCUUGACGGUACCUAAUCAGAAAGCCACGGCUAACUACGUG